GACGGAGAGUUUGAUCCUGGCUCAGGGUUAACGCUGGCGGUGCGCAUAACACAUGCAAGUCGAGCGAGGGCUCAUUUCCCGCAAGGGAGAUGAGUUCCUAGCGGCGAACGGGUGAGUAACACGUGGGCAACCUUUCCUAUCGCGGGGGAUAACAGCGGGAAACCGCUGCUAAUACCGCAUGUCGUCACCAGUCGCAUGGCUGGUGAAGAAAGCAGCAAUGCACGAUGGGGUGGGCCCGCGGCCUAUCAGCUAGUCGGUGGGGUAACGGCCUACCGAGGCGAUGACGGGUAGCUGGUCUGAGAGGACGACCAGCCACACGGGGACUGAGACACGGCCCCGACUCCUACGGGAGGCAGCAGUG
RNAcentral lists this ribosomal RNA (361 nucleotides) under Chloroflexota bacterium. RNAcentral's name for it is "bacterial SSU rRNA". It matches the Rfam family "Bacterial small subunit ribosomal RNA", at positions 1 to 356 of the family's 1533-position model. Lineage: Bacteria; Bacillati; Chloroflexota. The record is from RNAcentral.